CAAAAGGAUCCAUUCAGCUCAUGUGGUCCUCACAUCAGAACACAAUUGCACCCAGCACAGAGUGAACUCUCAUGCGGGUACUCUUUGAAGAUCAGAGAGGGGGCCAGGAUGUGGUCCAAGAUUUGCAAAUUUGGGUGAGAAACUUAUAGCCCCCACCUACCCCACCAAUCACUGGAAGCUGCUGACAUUUAUGAGAAGGAGGAGCCGACAGUGGAGGAUGACCAUGAGGGUGGAGGCUCACCACAAACUUGAAACCUUCAAGACCAUUAUCCAUUAACGGGGGAGGAGCACAGGUUCUGUGAGUCACAACUUGAGUUGUAUUAUAUUAAGUAAGGUAAAGACCGUCAACCACGGCAUAUGAGGUCAGGCCACGUUUUGCUGGUGGUUUUUAGAGCUGCUUGGGUUUUAGAAUUGUGGAUAAGGAGUGGUGGACUUGUACACAUUCUAACUCUGGUUUGCUAUUCAGUGUUGAGGAAGUUACUUCCCAGUGCCUCAGGAUAUAGUCACCUAGAUGUUGAGGAAUGACUUAUCUCCAGGAUUAAAGCAGUUGCUGCCACACACAGUGCCAUGAAUUUUAUAAGUAUCCUACAUAUGCGGUUCUUUGAGUGCUCACUACAGCAAUGAAAUCUGGCUAACUUCCCAGAGAGGGAACUGAUUGGAGGAAUAUGGGUGAAUGAAAACACCCAAAGGACGAGCUGAACAGUGAAGAAGAGUAAGACCCAGGGGAGCGGGGGGAGCGGGGAGAAUCAGCUCCUGUAUUUUCUGUGUGUGUUAUGGCAGUCAAAAUUGAGGGCCUGGAGGAGCCAUGUUUGCAAAGCUAAAUCAAAUUUCAGCCUCUUGCCUGAGGAAGCCAGCUCUUUGACUGUAGGAGGAACGGGACAGUUUCCAUCCCUCUACCCAUAACUCCAGCACCAAGAUCAUGUCUGGUGAGGACGAACUCAUUUGCGGUACCUUCUGUCCUCAGUAAAUGAUGCAUUGUAAACUCAUGGGGAAAGGAGCCAUCCAAAGAAAAAUAUGUAUCAUUUAUGUAACAUACCGUUUAAAGGUCUAGUUUCUUGUCUUGGUCCUGCUGCUUAUUAUGUGUGACCUUAAGUGAAUCACUCCAAGUCUCUCAUUUUUAUUUUAUUUUUUAUUUAUUUAUUUUGAGAUGGAGUCUUGCUCUGUCACCCAGGCUGGAGUGCAGUGGCGCCGUCUCGGCUCACUGCAACGUCCACCUGCCAGGUUCAAGUGAUUCUCCUGCCUCAGCCUCAUCAUAGCUAGGACUACAGGUGCCACCACCACACCCGGUAAUUUGCAAGCCUCUCAUUUUUAAAGCAGGUAAUAAUGGUGCUCUCAUUCUAUUAAUAAGGUUGCAAUAAGAGUCAAUGCAAUGCUGGACAUAAAGCACUUGGAACUAAGUAAGGUCUCCGCAACACUCAUCAGUGUUGGUACUUCCUAUGCACCCAGGCCGACAUCAAUGUUAAUUUGUUUCUUGGCAGAUGUCAAACCAAACAUUUACUAAAUGGUGACUCUUCAAGUCAUUCUGCUGUAUCCUUAGCUACCUUUUAGAGGGAAUGAAGUUCACAAGGUAAAUAUAACAACCAAGAGAAUGAGUAACUCCACAAAGAAGCACGCCCAGGGAGGUGGUCCACAAGUACUGUUUAAAGUCCACAAAGAGGCUUACAGAGGGCACAGACUCACUUUCCUUCCUGCGGUCAUUCAGUCCAUACCACCCCCAGAGGCUGGGCAGGCUCACCAGCCCAGGGCACCCUGGGGCUUAGAAAUAGAUUUCAGAUAGCUUUUAAGAUGAUGCUGAUCAAAUUCCUCCUUUUGAAUAUUAUUUAGUUAUCUCACUAAACCAAAAUAAUCUGGAAAGAAAACGUAUUUAAUACCUACUCUUCUAUAUUAAAAGACAAAACAAAACAAAAACGGGCCGGGCACGGUGGCUCACGCCUGUAAUCCCAGCACUUUUCGAGGCCAAGGUGGGUGGAUCACCUGAAGUUGGGAGUUCGAGACCAGCCUGACCAAAAUGGAGAAACCCCGUUUCUACUAAAAAUACAAAAUUAGCCGGGCAUGGUGGCGCUUGCCUGUAAUUCCAGCUACUCUGGAGGCUGAGGCAGGAGCAUUGCUUGAACCCAGGAGGUGGAGGUUGAGGUGAGCCAAGACCGCGCCAUUGCACUCCAGCCUGGGGCAACAAGAGCAAAACCCUGUCUCAAAAAAAAAAAAAAAAGAAAGAAAAGAAAAAACGAUACCAUAAGACUAAAAAGAAAGGACAUAUUCUGAAAACAUUCAAACUAUGUCAGAGAGCAGUGGCAUAUUUGAGCUGAUAAGAAUUAUCGAUAAGGAAAUUCACUCCAGCAGCUUCUCUGUGGACUCCCUGCAGCCUUGCUUCAUUGCUCAAGACAAUACAAGUCAGGAAUUGUACAGUAUCAACUUGGUAAGUUUGAAGGAUAAAGGAGUUUGGAAGAAGAGAGGAAGAAAAUGUGGCCACAAAAUACUACUGAAUUCUUAACGCAUAGCAAUUCCUUCCCUUUCCCAUUGUCCCUGUUGCCUGCCGGGCCUCACAGGAUGGACAGAGAAGGCUGGGUUUGUUUCUUCUCAUUGCCUGUCUUUGUCUGAACAGCUCUCAGGGCGGUAGAUAGAAUGGGAGUGGGUGCUGGGUUUCCCUCCCUGGAGGGGCCGAGGGGAAGUGACAGUGGGGAAUAUGCCUCCUGGGCCAGGUCUGUGAAUUAAAAACACGGAAUGGGCCAUGCAGUGGCUCACACCUGUAAUCCCAACACUUUGGGAGGCUGAGGCAGGUGGAUUGCUUGAGUCCAGGAGUUGGAGACCAGCCCGAGUGACAUGGCAAAACCUCGUCCCCACAAAAAAAUAAAUAAAUAAAUAAAAAAUAAAAAAGAAAGAAAGAAUAAUUAGCCAAGUGUGAUGGUGUGUGCUUGUGGUCCCAACUACUUUGGAGGCUGAGGCAGGAGGACCGCUUGAGCCCAGGAGGCGAGAGGCUGCAGUGAGCCGAGAUCACGCCACUGCACUCCAGCCUGGGUGACAGAGCCAGACCCUAUCUGCAAAUAAAACUAAACAAGACAAAAACAUGGUGUGGAGAUACAAGGUGGAAGCAGGCUGGAAAAAAUAUCCCUGGUAAGGAUACAAUGAAGGAAUGCUGGUAACCUCACCCUGGUGUUCCUUCGCCAGCGGCGAGGGCUGUGGUUUUCAUCAUGGGAGAAGCCCUUAACUAGGCUUCUAAACUAGCUGCAGAGUCCGAGCAUCAACCUCCACUUGACAAGGAUGGGCUUCUCUUCUACUACAGGGUCUACUUGCUCUAGAAUCAGCAAUCAGAGGUAAUCCUCAACCUCACCUGCCAACUUAUGCCAGCUGAUAAGACAUCAGCGGACACAGACCUUUUCUGAACAAAGUAGAACUCAGGAAUCCCCAAGCGUCCAGCAGGCAUCAACUAUCACACUCUGGCCCUGGUGGUGACAGAGCAGGGAGACCUAAGAGAUGGCGGGGUCCAGGAUUCCACUCACAUCCACAGGAAUGUGGUAGAUGCUGCCAGCAAGGAGGGUGAGGGAGGCGGACAGGAGCCCUGAUGCUCCUUUUCAAUUACCUUUGUGACAGCCCAUCAGAGGAGUUGGGCUGCCUCAUUGCAGAGAGGCUCAUGUAGGGGAGAGGAGGGUGCCAGAGCUGGAUUAUCACCCACCCCUCCCUUGGGGUGUGGGUAGCUGAGCUGGGAGUAAGGAAAUCUGGAGAACUGAAGGAGGCAGGGUUUUUUGAUUUAGGAAGAGCCCAUCCGUACAAGAAGGAGGUUGGGGCCCGGAGAGCAGGGACUCUUUGUGUGUCAGUUGAUUUGUUCUAAAGGCAGCCCAGAUAGGGACAGUCUUAGACAAAGAUAUUGAUUGCACUCAAAAAAUAUUAUAAAUCAGAAAUCUGGAAGUAUGGCCUGCCUUUUAGUGAAACAUAUUCCAAACUGCCAGGACUCUCUCAUAAAAGGUAAUCUAAAAUCGUCAAGAACAUUUCCUUUUCCUGUAGUUAUUCUGUGAAUUAUGUCACCUCUUACUCUCAGUGAAUGCCCUUUGAUCUGAUCCUUGUUAAUGUCCUGUCCUGCUGAGUUUUAUUCUCCAUAAUUCAUGUAUGUGGGGGCUUGCUUCAUUUUGGCUCAGACAUGCGGGGAAAAGAGUCCAGUUCUCUGGACCAGAGCCUAUGAAAUCACGCCUUUAAAUACAUUCCUAAUUUUGAUAUUUAUUAUAACAAUGUAAGACUUUGGUUAUAAUAAUGAAAGGAGAACCAGUUGAUUUCAUUGAGCAACUCAAUCAAAUAAUUCCUGAUGUGGAAGAGGGAAGUUUAUUAGGAUCCUGAGCUAGCAUGGAGCAUGGCCAUUUAGAGCAUGAGAAAAAUGCUUAAGUUCCCCCAGUUAGUUUGAUAGAUAGACCAUAUUUUUACUUUUAACAAUACACCAAAAAUCCUUUCCUGCUUUGGAAAGAUCUUCCUUAAUAACUUGGAGAAGGAAGGUAAUAUGAUCUACAAUUUAAAUUAAGCUUUAACUAGUGAAAACACAGUUUUCUUCAAUGAAUUAAUAAUUAAGCCCAUGAAAUAAUUUCAAUGAGCAUGAAGAUCUUAUAACUAUAAUUGUCUUAGUAAUUUAUUUUUCUGAUGCAUCUAGGAUUUUCUUCUUCCCCUGUGACUGGUGAAUGAUUAUAAAUUGACUGAUCAUUGUGAUAGCUUCUUCUAAUAUGAACAAUCUAAAUAUCAUGCUUUGCACCCUAUGUUUAAAAGUAACAAUAUAUUCAAACUUAAAAUUCUCCAUGAAUCACCUGACCAUAAAUUUAGUUAGAAAUCAAGGAAGAAGAGUAACCAUGUGUUAUGCCUAUUUCUUAUUAAAAACAAUUUUUAGAUAUUGCUGGGGA
This 4874-nucleotide long non-coding RNA is filed under the name Homo sapiens (human). RNAcentral describes it as "HSALNT0137006". Lineage: Eukaryota; Metazoa; Chordata; Mammalia; Primates; Hominidae. The record is from RNAcentral.